Zalophus californianus (California sea lion) is the source of this 109-nucleotide small nuclear RNA. The record is from Ensembl. Lineage: Eukaryota; Metazoa; Chordata; Mammalia; Carnivora; Otariidae.
GUGCUUGCUUUGGCAGCAUAUAUACUAUAAAAUUGGAACGAUACAGAGAAGAUUAGCAUGGCCCCUGCGCAAGGAUGACACGCAAAUACAUAACUCCCAUCAGGUAUCA